ACAGCAGCGAGCCGGGAGCGCCACCUUCCGCUUCCGCGCUCCCGGCCGCGCAUGCGCGCGGAUCGGUAUGGGUACGCCCAGGGCAUCCCUCAGUAUCAACUUUCUUCUGUCAUAGAGGACAGUUGUUAACAUCUCAAGCCAAAGUUGAUCCAACCUGAAAAUACUUACAGCAGAAGCCGGUCUGGAAAGUGAACUAAGCAUACCUGGGUUUACUGGUGGAAGCCCAGGUGGGAUGACAGGAUGCAUCUGUGUCAAGCCAAAGAAAGAGGUGCAAACAGUUCCAUAACGGGAACCAAAGUCUGAUAGUGCAGCAAUAGCACUGGAGCAAUAUUCCCAUCAGAUUACAGAAGCUGUGUUAGCUAUAUAGGAUGAAGUCUGUUUUCUGGAAUAUGAUCCAUGUCUGACACGCCAGGGCUGCAAGACAAAUCCAGGGAGAAGCUACUGGGAAGCCAGAAGUCAGCUAACAGCCACUGAUGCUGUGCUGGUGAGGACUGGAAUCAGACCUUUCCCAGUAAAAUGCUUCCAAAAUUA
Coturnix japonica (Japanese quail) is the source of this 531-nucleotide non-coding RNA. The record is from RefSeq and is a predicted model, not a curated record. NCBI's taxonomy places the organism in Eukaryota, Metazoa, Chordata, Aves, Galliformes, Phasianidae.